AUUGAACGCUGGCGGCAGGCCUAACACAUGCAAGUCGAGCGGAGCGGCGGACGGGUGCGUAAUGCCUAGGAAUAUGCCUGGUAGUGGGGGAUAACGUCAGGAAACGGGCGCUAAUACAGCAUACUCUCAGAUGAGCCUAGGUCGGAUUCGCUAGUGGGGGGGGUAAAGGCCUACCAAGGCGACGAUCCGUAACUGGUCUGAGAGGAUGAUCAGCCAAACUGGAACGGAGACACGGUCCAGAAGCCUACGGGAGGCAGCAGUGGGGAAUAUUGGACAAUGGGCGCAAGCCUGAUGCAGCCAUGCCGCGUGUGUGAAGAAGGUCUUCGGGUUGUAAAGCACUUUAAGUUGGGAGGCGUUACCAACAGAAGAAGCACCGGCUAACUCCGUGCCAGCAGCCGCGGUAAUAC
This 407-nucleotide ribosomal RNA is filed under the name uncultured bacterium. Its description in RNAcentral is "partial 16S ribosomal RNA". It matches the Rfam family "Bacterial small subunit ribosomal RNA", at positions 29 to 526 of the family's 1533-position model. The record is from RNAcentral.